UGGAUUCAAAAAUGUUAGUUGUAAGAUCAUUAAGUUUAGAUCUCAUAAUAUACCCAUAAAAGGUUCAAGGUUAACACAACUCUAUAGAGAGCUUAAGUUUAACAUCCUAUGACGACACAUACACAACUAUAUCCAGUGUUUUUUCAUAUUUCAAGUUAUGUCAAGAUUUGAUGAACAUUUUCCGAAAUUCAUCAUUGGAUUUAGGAUUUUCAUCUUCCACAGAAUCAGAUUCUUUUGAUUUGGGUUGAUCUUUGUCAACCCAACCCAGUGGCCUGACAGUUCUGGGCAUUGCAAACGUAUUCUUACCUUUGAGCUGGAUAUUAGAUGCCCGGUGAUGACUAGAAGGUUGAAGCCCCCCCCCGGAACCUUCAGCAGAAUUUUUGGCACCUGAUUUUGAACUCUCAGUAGUUUGAUCAGCAUUAUCACCUUGUCUCAAAGAUGUACCGGGAGCAGCACUUCCUCUCUUUCUGCCCUUGGGAUCUGACUUAGCAAUGCUCACUCUCUUCCCAAGCAAUGUGUGUUUGUUUUUUGCCACGGCUGCAGCCAGGUGUUUGUCAUCUGAGAAGUCCACAUAAGCCAAUCCCCUUGACUUGCCAGUGAACUUGUCUGUUAAUAUUCGUAUAGCAACCACUCCCCCAACAUCACUGAAGAAUUUACGUAGGUCAUCAUGGGUUGCCUUGAGGUUAAUGUUAGAUACAAAUGCAGUACACUGGUCAUCAUACUGUUGUGGUUUCCCUGAAGUGACAUCUCUGUUCUCUUUUUUGCUUCCACUCACUGGCUUGCUAGCAGCCACAUCUGGUUUUUUAUCAUUUACCUUGACCGGUUCUUUUGAGAUGCCUUUACCAUCUUCAGAAGUGAUUUUAACAUUUUUAGCUUUAUCUUUGUGACGUUUAGCAGGAGAUUGUUCUUCAAUUAAAUUAGAUACUGGCUUCCUCUUUUCACGCACAUUUUUCCUAGAAGAAUUGUCUCCAUCAUCUGCUGACACACCGAUGCUCUUAGCUUCUUGUAGUUUGAAUAACUGCAGUUCUUCAAGGCGAGGAGUGACCUUUUUAACGGCAAGGUCAAAAUCGUCCAGGGUACCAUACUCUCUCUCGAAGCGAAUCCAUGAAUUGCAUAUGUCCUCUGAGCCAGUCCCGGGAAA
RNAcentral lists this unclassified non-coding RNA (1141 nucleotides) under Hevea brasiliensis (rubber tree). Lineage: Eukaryota; Viridiplantae; Streptophyta; Magnoliopsida; Malpighiales; Euphorbiaceae. The record is from RNAcentral.